GACGAACGCUGGCGGCGUGCUUAACACAUGCAAGUCGAACGGAAAGGCCCUGCUUUUGUGGGGUGCUCGAGUGGCGAACGGGUGAGUAACACGUGAGUAACCUGCCCUUGACUUUGGGAUAACUUCAGGAAACUGGGGCUAAUACCGGAUAGGAGCUCCUGCUGCAUGGUGGGGGGUGGAAAGUUUCGGCGGUUGGGGAUGGACUCGCGGCUUAUCAGCUUGUUGGUGGGGUAGUGGCUUACCAAGGCUUUGCCGGGUAGCCGGCCUGCGCGGGUGACCGGCCACAUUGGGACUGAGAUACGGCCCAGACUCCUACGGGAGGGAGCGGUGGGGAAUAUUGCACAAUGGGCGGAAGCCUGAUGCAGCAACGCCGCGUGCGGGAUGACGGCCUUCGGGUUGUAAACCGCUUUCGCCUGUGACGAAGCGUGAGUGACGGUAAUGGGUAAAGAAGCACCGGCUAACUACGUG
This 468-nucleotide ribosomal RNA is filed under the name uncultured bacterium. RNAcentral describes it as "partial 16S ribosomal RNA". It matches the Rfam family "Bacterial small subunit ribosomal RNA", at positions 28 to 507 of the family's 1533-position model. The record is from RNAcentral.